UAGGUGAAUCUAUGGAAGGAUCAUUGUCAAAACCUACAAAGCAGACCCACAAACUCAUUCUAUGACACGUACGGGAGGAUGACGGUUAUUCGCGUGUCGACCGUGCGACGGACAAAGGGAGUUUGGCUGUCUAAUUAAAACAAAGCAUUGUAAUGGUCCCCUUGGAUGCUUAUGUAAUGUGAUUUUUGCCCAGUGCUCUGAAUGUUAAAGUGAAAAAAUUCAACAAAGCACAAGUAAAUGAUGGGAGUAACUAUGACUCUCUUAAGGUAGCCAAAUCCCUCAUCAUCUAAUUAGUACGUGCAUGACUAGAUUAACAAGAUUUCCACUGUCCCUAUCUACUAUCCAGUGAACCCACAACCAAGGGAACGAGCUUGA
Molecule: ribosomal RNA, 375 nt
Filed under: Olea europaea subsp. europaea
Lineage: Eukaryota; Viridiplantae; Streptophyta; Magnoliopsida; Lamiales; Oleaceae
Description: Eukaryotic large subunit ribosomal RNA
Rfam family: Eukaryotic large subunit ribosomal RNA
Source: Rfam by way of RNAcentral